CUACGGGUGGCAGCAGUGGGGAAUAUUGCACAAUGGGGGAAACCCUGAUGCAGCGACGCCGCGUGAGUGAAGAAGUAUUUCGGUAUGUAAAGCUCUAUCAGCAGGGAAGAGAAUGACGGUACCUGAGUAAGAAGCCCCGGCUAACUACGUGCCAGCAGCCGCGGUAAUACGUAGGGGGCAAGCGUUAUCCGGAUUUACUGGGUGUAAAGGGAGCGUAGACGGCGAAGAAAGGCUGAAGUGAAAGCCCGCGGCUCAACCGCGGAACUGCUUUGGAAACUUUUUUGCUGGAGUACCGGAGAGGUAAGCGGAAUGCCGAGUGUAGCGGUGAAAUGCGUAGAGAUUAGGAGGAACACCAGUGGCGAAGGCGGCUUACUGGACGGUAACUGACGUUGAGGCUCGAAAGCGUGGGGAGCAAACAGGAUUAGAUACCCCUGUAGUC
RNAcentral lists this ribosomal RNA (439 nucleotides) under uncultured bacterium. Its description in RNAcentral is "partial 16S ribosomal RNA". It matches the Rfam family "Bacterial small subunit ribosomal RNA", at positions 339 to 795 of the family's 1533-position model. The record is from RNAcentral.